This 12553-nucleotide long non-coding RNA is filed under the name Medicago truncatula (barrel medic). RNAcentral describes it as "long non-coding RNA (MTRU_LNC008189)". Lineage: Eukaryota; Viridiplantae; Streptophyta; Magnoliopsida; Fabales; Fabaceae. The record is from RNAcentral.
GAUUCUAAGAGUCCAUACAAAUUGUGAGAAUCAUACUCGGUGAUAUUACCAUAAUGUAAAGAUGUUGCCGGAACAGUUUUCUCGUUAAUUGGUCGUUGAACGCCAGAACUGUUAAUUUUGUAAGGAGGGUUGUCAAGAUUAGAAUGUGGUGUGUUCGGUGAAGUUAUGAAAUUAGAUAACUCAUUCAUGUCAAGCCAAAGACCAUCAAAAGCGAGAACGUCCUUAAAUAAUUUGAUUUCUUCAGCCCAAAAUUGUUGACUAUGAGGGUUAAGAAAAUCAGGAUAGUAAACUUGUCCAGGCCAAACUUCACCUUGAUAGUUGACUCCAUUUCUCUUUAUAUAUACAUCAGCUUGCAAACCUCUAACAUAGGUUGCAUAUGUAGUAUUUAUACUGAUACCUGUGUACAAAAUUUGUCUCAAAUCAAUGAAAUAUCACAUAUGCAUAGAUAUUUGAAACGUUAAGAGGAGAACAGCGUUAUCAAUGAUGUAUUACGGAAAAUAGCAGAAGGCCAAAAAUCCCUUAUGUGAAAUAGAAGAUAGUGUUAGAGGCAAAUAGCCGGAUUAGGAUUGCACUAAUAGUAAAACUAGGAUAGUGUUGCGGAAUCAUCAAAAUCCGCUAUGUUGUAGCUCUGCUACUACUUCUAUUUGACAGCAAUUGAGUAUAGUAUGUUUAGUUUGGAAGAUAAUUUAUGGUGUUAGAAUUAGGUACCUGGAUCCAAGAUAAGCACAUACUUCUGACCAUUUUUGUGAAGGGUAUCAACAAAAUUUAUCAUCUUGUCUUGCGGAAAAUUAACAGGAUCUAGUGUGAAAUCUUUAUAUGCAUCCAUGUAAUCAAUAUCUGUCCACAUAACUUCAAGGGGUAUGCCAGCUUUUGCAUAGUUGGUUACCACACCUUCGACAUCACUUACAUUCUUGUAGCCAUAUCGACAUUGAUGAAAACCUUCACAAAGAGUUUACAAUAUUUGUGGAUUACCAUUGGAAUUUGAUAUAAUGAAUCAGAUGAAUACAAUAGAAAGACAACUGCAAUAGACUGGUGUUAGAUUUGAAUGCCUGGACUAAAGUAUAGAAAUUUCAUAAAGUACAAUUCAAUGACUAUAGACCUUUAUAUGGUUUAAUUUUUUUGUAUCAUCUAUGCAUAGGCCAUUCAGUAGAACCAUGUUAUUGUCAUAUAUAAAUACUAGAAGAAAAAAAAUUCAGUAGACCACCUUGAUAGAAGGUCGACUGUUGGACCGAAACCUGAAAAUUUGUUCAAAACACCAAUGACAUCUGACGGGACUCAUCAUCCCCACGACUGAGUGGGUGACCUUAUCGGUGUCACUUUGACAGAAAUAUAAGUUGAGUUUUGAGCCACACAUAUCUAUUUUAUCUUGUUUGUUCCAAAUUGACACCAAUAAGGUCACCAUCUCAGAUGUUACAAUAAGGAGGAAUAUGAAAUUCUACUCCCGAGAACCAAUAUCAGUCAUUGUUGAAGUUUCAAACGAUUUUCAAGUACCGAUCCACGGUUGACCGCCUAUUAAAAUUGUACACCUUAUAACUUGCUAUAAACACUUGAGUUUCAACAAGUAAAACACAACUCAAACUACAAUGAUAAAAAGGAAUGAAAAAUUCAACAAUCCGUGCUGGACUUACCAAAAGACCAAUAAGGCAUAGGAGCAGGCCUACCAAUGAACUGAGUAUACUGAUCCAAAACCAAUUCAGGAGAUGAACCAGAAAAAAAAUACAAAUCAAAAACACCACCAAUCACCUUAUAAGUAAGACGAUCACCGCUAUAAACAACAUCCAUUCCAUUACUAUUAAGAAGUAAAACACCAUGUGUAGUCCCACUUUUCACUCUUCCAUCAGAUGAACCCUUUCUCACAUCCAAAUAAAAUGGAUGAGAGCCAUAAAGAUUCACAUCAACAUUAGAACUACCAAUAUCUUCAUUCCAAAGAGUGAAAGUUUGGUUUGGUUUCAACUUGAAAGAACUCUUUGUAUGCUCUCCAAAACCAUACAGAGAAGCUCUUUUUGAAGGCAGAGAGGUAGAAAUCUGCAAGUACUGUUCUUUGAAGACUAGAAAUGUUUCAGGGUUUAAAGGGUCUUCUGGUAAAGUGUUAAAGAGUAUAUCUUUGUUGGAUUUACGCGUGAUAGUGAAACCAAAUGGAGUUGUGUUGUGGAGUGUGAAGAUAAGAUCUGAGUUUGGAUGUGUAAUUAUGUAUUUUGAGUUUUGCGAAUUUUGUUGACGAAAAUGAUGAGAUAGAGAUGAAGAUGAUGAGUCUCUUGGAAUCAAUUCUUCUGGAACUUCCCAUCUUUGAUUAUUUGAAUCAGUGAUUCUUACUCUUAAUUUAUCCUUGGCCUCAAAACUGCAAUUCAGAGUUGAAAAUUUAGUCUUAUUUUGAACCAAAAAAAGUUUAAUAAUUUACUCAUAAAUAGAAACAUGGAUAUAAUCAUAUGAUUAUAUAUGUUUGAUUGCUUUUGAAACAAAAAAACAAUCUAGUAAAAUAAAAAGGACAACAAAAAAACAAUAAACUAUGAUUGGUUAUUGGUUAGUUAGUUAGUUAGUUACCUGGCACUGAGGUUGAGAAGUGGAAUGUCGGGUCCGAAAACCGAGGAGGAUUUGAUGAGUUUAAGGUUAGCAGACAAAGAUUUUCCUGUUGGAUCACUUUUUACACUUAUGAUUGUGUAGCCAUAACCAACUUGUGUUUCUUUUGAUGGUGAAUCUGCAACAGUUUGGGAUAAGAUGACAAAAACAUUGAAACAGAAAGCUAGUAGUGGUAGUAGAAUGUUGCUGGUUUUAGUUCUUGGACUUGUAACCAUUUUGUUUGUGUUGAUGUGUUUAUUGUCUGUGGGAGACAAUUGAAAAUAAUCAUCAAUUUAUGUUUUGUAUACAAGAUUGGUUGAUCUAGGAGAAAACAAUGAAUGAUGGAGACAAGCCAUGUUGACUUAAAAGAUAAGAUGACAUUGUUACUAACAUUUUCCACUAAGAAGUAACAAUAGUUUUUUUUUUCUUCUUUUUUUAUUGCAAAUGUUACUAAAUUCUCCUUUGUGAGAAGAUUUUUAACUGUAGUAUUUUAACCCUACUUGAAAGGAGGUGACCUUAACUCUUUGUACUAACAAUUUUUUUGAGAGGACCACCACUUGAAAGGAUAUGAUCCAUCUUUAAACUAACCCUACUUGAAAGGAGGUGACCUUAACUCUUUCUACUAACAAUAGUUAAUAUGAUGGCGACUAUGUAAAUUGACUACUAGACAAAGAUGGGCAAUCACCAUUUUUCUUGUUCUUUUUGUUAUUAAAAAACAUAAUUAAUGAUAGCAGAUUUUUAUAUUAUAAAUUUCUAUUAAUAUGAUCGCAAAGGUUGAUCGAACUGAAAAAACCACUAGUCCAGCUCAAUGAUGGAGAGUGUUACCUGCAAACACUUGGCGCUCACAUCGCCAAGAGAAACCAUUGAGUAGUGUGUGUGUGUGUUCUCCUCGUGUGUCCCUCUCAUGUCAACGUGGCUCAUUCUUUGUUUCCUCCUACAUGAACUAACCUCUAUAAAUUUGUAGUUAUAGUCAUAGUUUUAAGAACCGGCCGGUUCAACCGUGAACCAUACCCAUUACCGGUUUGAGCCAGCUAUUGGAUCGGCCAUGUUAUUGACUCGGCUGCCACGUCAUAAACAAAGCUUAUAGCAUAAAAAAUUACAUACAAUACAAGUGUUUAUAUGUAAGCUAUUUCUAUAGGUUUAUGAGGCGUUAGCUCGAUGAUAAUAAUCUGACCUGCAAUUGCAAGAGACGGAGUUCAAAUUCAUGAGACAAUUGUAAAAUGGACAUUAACGCCACCAUAAUUUUAAUAAUAUUUCUCCUUCCCCAUUUUUUUUUAAAAUUGUUCCUUUUAAUAAACAACUAUUUCGAUAGCGAAAUAUAAAAUGAGGUCUGACUGUUUUCACAAGAUUAGCAUAGAGAGCUUGUGCAAAUAAUCCAAAAACAAUUUAUGAAUAUGUCAUAAACUGUUUUCAUAAGCUCUCGUAAACAAUCUCAAAUGUUUGUCGCGCAAUAAGCUCAAAUGGGACAAUUCAACCAGAUGUUGAUGAAUGUAUGGAAAAGGAAAGAAACACUUGAGAUAAUAUAAAUCAACUAAAUCUUGAGAUAAUAUAUAGAUUUGAUAGACAAAUAUAACUAUACUAGAUGAUACUUAUUUCUGAUCCCUUGUAGCAACCUUAACUAAGGUAAAACAAGGGACUCUUCAAAGAAGUAAAACUACUAAGAAAACACAUAUUAUUUUUGGAAAUUGCAUUCUCAAAUUUCCUUCUACCUUAUUUUAGUCUUCAGUUCAAACUGCUCUCCAAUAAGCUGUUUCAAAUUUGAAACUUCCACAGUAACAAACUUAGAAGACCUAUCAAAUUUUGUGAUCAAAACUCUUUUCCUCGUUGAAUUCAUUCCACUCACAACAUUUAACUCACUCUCAGCCAAAUCAUUUCCAUUUAACCUACCAUAAUUAGGUAUCCCCAAGAAUGUAACCUUUUCUAUGGUCCAUUUUUGGUCCAAAGCAAAUUUUCCAUUAGUAACAUUAGAAGUAACAGAAACACUGUCAUUAUUAUACAGUGCACCAUAAAAUCUCACAAGUGUCCAUUGAUCUUUCUCUCCUUCUAGAUCAAGAGCCUCACCAUCAUCCAAAUAAACUUGUCCAUAACUAUUUCCAUUUCCACUAAAAACAACCAAUAGUUCGAAUGCGGUGUUUCGAGCUGCUUUCGUUGUCAUUGCUUCACCUUGUAAGGCCAAAAUGUUACCUUCACCAACAUGCACAUUUAUGUGAUCAGAUGGUGCAUCAAGUGUGACAUAUUUGCCUGAUUCUGCACUCACUGAAUUUGAAGGAUUAAAGAGAUCAAACCAAUUUCCUUUAGGAAAGUAUGCAUCAACAGUAACUGCACCAGAUUGUAGCACAGGUGAGACUAGAACACCAUUGCCUAAUAGAAACUGCGAGUUUAUUUCGUAUGUUGUGAUAUCCUCGGGGAAUGAAAAGAAAAGUGGCCGCGCAAUUGGUGUCCCUUUUGUGUUUGAUUCGUACAUUAGUGUGUAGAAAUAUGGAAGAAGGCGGUAACGAAGGGCGAGCACUUUUCGAGCUGAUGCUGCAACUGAAUCCCAAAGGUAAAGCUCUUGCCUGAUGGAACUUUUAUCUGAAUGAUCUCUUGCAAAGGGGUAGAAGGCCCCUAACUACAUUCAAGAAAAUAAAAAAGUAUUAGAUAUGCAUGCAAUGAUGGAAAUAUUUUCCAUCAGGGUUUUAAAAACUUAGGUACUGUUCUAUAGAAACUGUUCCUACUGUUCUCAACUUACAGAUAGUGUAACUGUCACCAACAAUUUUGAAUGGAUGUGAAAAACUGUCCUUUUUGUUAGAAAAAGUAAGAGUACAGCACACAUUGAAUCUAAGUUUAGUCCUUUAAAGAAAGGCCUACCGCGCGAUGUGGAAAGUGACAUUAAGAUUUUUUAUGUUUAUACGACUGCAAUUGCGGCUUUAUCACCACGAUUCUCUGAAAUAUAAGAAUCGCAGCGUGUCUGCAAUUUAAAACCUUUCUUUACCUGUAGCCAAAAAUCACAGCUCUAUCCAUGUGUAACUUUUAUAAAUUUAGUCUAGUGAAAAAGUUGUGGAUGCUAUCCGAUUUUGAGGAUCAAUGUUUGUUACCUGAAUCCAGCGCCGACAAAGUUCUUCAGUAGUGUCUGCUGAGAAGCCGCAUAUAUCCGCUCCAACCAUAGGAACUCCAAAGAUUCCAAAGUUUAAUAUUGAUGGGAUUGAGUAUGCUAAAUCAUUCCAUGUAGCAGCAUUAUCUCCUGUCCAAUGAGCUGUAUACUUGCCAGAGCUAACAAAAGUUGAUCUACUCAAAAUGAAUGGUCUUUUACUAGUUAUUUCCACUAAGGCCCUGUUGGUUGUUUUGGAUUCUAAGAGACCAUACAAAUUGUGAGAAUCAUACUCAGUGAUAUUACCAUAAUGUAAAGAAGUUGCUGGCACCGUUUUAUUGUUGAUUGGUCGUUGAACGCCAGUACUGUUAAUUUUGUAAGGAGGGCUGUCAAGAUUAGAAUGAGGAGUGUCAUUCGAAGUUAUGAAAUUUGAUAACUCAUUCAUGUCAAGCCAAAUACCAUCAAAAGGGAGAAGUUCCCUAAAUAAUUUGAUUUCUUCACCCCAAAAUUCUUGGCUAUGAGGGUUAAGAAAAUCAGGAUAGUAAACUGGUCCUGGCCAAACUUCACCUAGAUAAUUGACUCCAUUUCUCUUUAGAUAGACAUCAGCUUGUAAGCCUCUAACAUAGGUUGCAUAUGUGUUAUUUACACUGAUACCUGUGUACAAAAAAGCAAUGACAUGUGCAUAUAUAUAUAUAUUUUUUUGAAUGGCAAAUAUAUAAUAUAGAAAAAGAACACACUGUACAAGAUACACCAACAGGACCAUCAAAAGAUGGUCCAAAGAGACCCCAGAAAACCCCCGACACAAAUGGAGAGCCGGGAAGAGAUCCGAAUGGAAGCACCAAAUAAACACCAAAAGCAAACAAAAAGAAAACUACACCAAAUAAAAGGAAAACAGAACAAAACACCACUGAAACCAACACCAGGCAGGUCAGGAAAGGAGGGCAAAGAAACACUGCGAAAGCUGGCCAGAAGGGGAGGAGGCAGGGAACCCCCACCCAACCCCCCACGCGAGCCAAGGCACACCACUCCCAGAACACCCUACCGAUGCCAGCACAGGAACCAUAAGAGUAAGACAUUGUUGUCGAUAGCGGAUUAUGGAAAAUAGAGGAACACCAAAAUUCCACUAUGUGAAAUAGGGGAUAGUGUUGCUGGAAAAUAGUGAAAGUCGCAUAGGGUUGAAAUAAGUCAAUUUUUUAUGAAAAAGGGCAAGCUGCAUACAGAUAAGAAAAAGAAUGGAGGCAAAGCAUAUCUUCUACACUGGAAGGUUUAAUUAUUACUGUUAAUAUAAGAGUAAUGCUCACCUAAUCUUCGGUUUUCUAUAGUAAAAGUAGGCCAUGUUUGGCCCAUAUGCAGAUUCUUCGGUUUUGUUUCUAAAAAAGACCCUAAAAUUCUCUUUUUCCAUUAUUACUGCUACAUCAGCUAGCAAAAACUGGAAUAGCGGGGCGGCUAUUGCGCUAAUAGUGUUGUGGUUUCCAUAGAGGAAUCACCAAAAUCCACUAUGUUACAGAGCUGCUAUUGCGGCGGCUAUUUGAUGACGCUGGAGCAGAAUAUGUUUAGUUUAGAAUUUGGUACCUGGAUCCAAGAUAAGCACAUAUUUCUGACCAUUUUUGUGAAGAGUAUCAACAAAAUUUCUCAUCUUAUCUUUCGGAAAAUUAACAGGAUCUAGAGUGAAAUCUUUAUAUGCAUCCAUGUAAUCAAUAUCUGUCCACAUAACUUCGAGGGGUAUACCAGCUUUUGCAUAGUUGGUUACUACACCCUGAACAUCAUUUACAUUCUUGUAUCCCCAUCGACAUUGAUGAAAACCUUCACAAAGAGUUAACAAUGAUGUGGAUUAGCAUAGCAAAUUGAUAUAAUUAAUCACCGUGAAUAUAAUACAAUAGAAAGACAAUUGCAAUAAACUGGUGUUAGAUUUUAAUGCCUGGAGCCCUGAACUAAUGCAUAGAAAUUUCAUAAAGUACAAUUCAAUGACUAUAGACCUUUAUAUGGUUUAAUUUUUUAUCAUCUAUGUCUAGGCCAUUCCUAACUUAAUAGGGGCUUGUCCUCCACACUUUAGUUUUCAACACCUAUAAACACAUUCUUUCAAGUUUCAUAGCAUUGGCUUUAUAUUUUGUAACUGUGGUUUGCAACAACGGUUACGGCCACAACGUAAGGGAUUCUAAAACUUCUACAACUGCAAUUCAAAAUACUAGAAGAAAAAAAAUUCAGUAGAACACCUUGAUAGAAGGUCGACUCUAGACCAGAACCUGAAAAUUUAUUCAAAACACCAAUGACAUUUGACAGGACUCAUCAUCCCCACGACUGAGUGGUUGACCUUAUCGGUGUUAGUUAGACAGAAAUACGAGUUGAGUUUUGAGCCACACAUAUCAAUUAUAUCUUGUUUGUUCCAAAUUGUAACCAAUCAGGUCACUAUCUCAGACGUUACAACAAGGAGGAAUAUGAAAUUCUACUCCCGAAAACCAAUAUCAGUCAUUGCUGAAGUUUCAAACGAUUUUUGAGUACUGAUCCACGAGUCGUGGAUCAGUACUUGAAAUUGUACACGACUGACCACGACUGGCCGCCUAUUAAAAUUGUACACCUUAUAACUUGCUAUAAACACUUGAGUAGUUGAGUUUCAACAAGUAAAACAACUAGAACUACAAGGACAAAAAGGAUUGAAAAAUUCAACAAUCCAUGCUGGACUUACCAAAAGACCAAUAAGGCAUAGGAGCAGGCCUACCAAUGAACUGAGUAUACUGAUCCAAAACCAAUUCAGGAGAUGAACCAGCAAAAAAAUACAAAUCAAAAACACCACCAAUCACCUUAUAAGUAAGACGAUCACCGCUAUAAACAACAUCCAUUCCAUUACUAUUAAGAAGUAAAACNUGUGGGAGACAAUUGAAAAUAAUCAUCAAUUUAUGUUUUGUAUACAAGAUUGGUUGAUCUAGGAGAAAACAAUGAAUGAUGGAGACAAGCCAUGUUGACUUAAAAGAUAAGAUGACAUUGUUACUAACAUUUUCCACUAAGAAGUAACAAUAGUUUUUUUUUUCUUCUUUUUUUAUUGCAAAUGUUACUAAAUUCUCCUUUGUGAGAAGAUUUUUAACUGUAGUAUUUUAACCCUACUUGAAAGGAGGUGACCUUAACUCUUUGUACUAACAAUUUUUUUGAGAGGACCACCACUUGAAAGGAUAUGAUCCAUCUUUAAACUAACCCUACUUGAAAGGAGGUGACCUUAACUCUUUCUACUAACAAUAGUUAAUAUGAUGGCGACUAUGUAAAUUGACUACUAGACAAAGAUGGGCAAUCACCAUUUUUCUUGUUCUUUUUGUUAUUAAAAAACAUAAUUAAUGAUAGCAGAUUUUUAUAUUAUAAAUUUCUAUUAAUAUGAUCGCAAAGGUUGAUCGAACUGAAAAAACCACUAGUCCAGCUCAAUGAUGGAGAGUGUUACCUGCAAACACUUGGCGCUCACAUCGCCAAGAGAAACCAUUGAGUAGUGUGUGUGUGUGUUCUCCUCGUGUGUCCCUCUCAUGUCAACGUGGCUCAUUCUUUGUUUCCUCCUACAUGAACUAACCUCUAUAAAUUUGUAGUUAUAGUCAUAGUUUUAAGAACCGGCCGGUUCAACCGUGAACCAUACCCAUUACCGGUUUGAGCCAGCUAUUGGAUCGGCCAUGUUAUUGACUCGGCUGCCACGUCAUAAACAAAGCUUAUAGCAUAAAAAAUUACAUACAAUACAAGUGUUUAUAUGUAAGCUAUUUCUAUAGGUUUAUGAGGCGUUAGCUCGAUGAUAAUAAUCUGACCUGCAAUUGCAAGAGACGGAGUUCAAAUUCAUGAGACAAUUGUAAAAUGGACAUUAACGCCACCAUAAUUUUAAUAAUAUUUCUCCUUCCCCAUUUUUUUUUAAAAUUGUUCCUUUUAAUAAACAACUAUUUCGAUAGCGAAAUAUAAAAUGAGGUCUGACUGUUUUCACAAGAUUAGCAUAGAGAGCUUGUGCAAAUAAUCCAAAAACAAUUUAUGAAUAUGUCAUAAACUGUUUUCAUAAGCUCUCGUAAACAAUCUCAAAUGUUUGUCGCGCAAUAAGCUCAAAUGGGACAAUUCAACCAGAUGUUGAUGAAUGUAUGGAAAAGGAAAGAAACACUUGAGAUAAUAUAAAUCAACUAAAUCUUGAGAUAAUAUAUAGAUUUGAUAGACAAAUAUAACUAUACUAGAUGAUACUUAUUUCUGAUCCCUUGUAGCAACCUUAACUAAGGUAAAACAAGGGACUCUUCAAAGAAGUAAAACUACUAAGAAAACACAUAUUAUUUUUGGAAAUUGCAUUCUCAAAUUUCCUUCUACCUUAUUUUAGUCUUCAGUUCAAACUGCUCUCCAAUAAGCUGUUUCAAAUUUGAAACUUCCACAGUAACAAACUUAGAAGACCUAUCAAAUUUUGUGAUCAAAACUCUUUUCCUCGUUGAAUUCAUUCCACUCACAACAUUUAACUCACUCUCAGCCAAAUCAUUUCCAUUUAACCUACCAUAAUUAGGUAUCCCCAAGAAUGUAACCUUUUCUAUGGUCCAUUUUUGGUCCAAAGCAAAUUUUCCAUUAGUAACAUUAGAAGUAACAGAAACACUGUCAUUAUUAUACAGUGCACCAUAAAAUCUCACAAGUGUCCAUUGAUCUUUCUCUCCUUCUAGAUCAAGAGCCUCACCAUCAUCCAAAUAAACUUGUCCAUAACUAUUUCCAUUUCCACUAAAAACAACCAAUAGUUCGAAUGCGGUGUUUCGAGCUGCUUUCGUUGUCAUUGCUUCACCUUGUAAGGCCAAAAUGUUACCUUCACCAACAUGCACAUUUAUGUGAUCAGAUGGUGCAUCAAGUGUGACAUAUUUGCCUGAUUCUGCACUCACUGAAUUUGAAGGAUUAAAGAGAUCAAACCAAUUUCCUUUAGGAAAGUAUGCAUCAACAGUAACUGCACCAGAUUGUAGCACAGGUGAGACUAGAACACCAUUGCCUAAUAGAAACUGCGAGUUUAUUUCGUAUGUUGUGAUAUCCUCGGGGAAUGAAAAGAAAAGUGGCCGCGCAAUUGGUGUCCCUUUUGUGUUUGAUUCGUACAUUAGUGUGUAGAAAUAUGGAAGAAGGCGGUAACGAAGGGCGAGCACUUUUCGAGCUGAUGCUGCAACUGAAUCCCAAAGGUAAAGCUCUUGCCUGAUGGAACUUUUAUCUGAAUGAUCUCUUGCAAAGGGGUAGAAGGCCCCUAACUACAUUCAAGAAAAUAAAAAAGUAUUAGAUAUGCAUGCAAUGAUGGAAAUAUUUUCCAUCAGGGUUUUAAAAACUUAGGUACUGUUCUAUAGAAACUGUUCCUACUGUUCUCAACUUACAGAUAGUGUAACUGUCACCAACAAUUUUGAAUGGAUGUGAAAAACUGUCCUUUUUGUUAGAAAAAGUAAGAGUACAGCACACAUUGAAUCUAAGUUUAGUCCUUUAAAGAAAGGCCUACCGCGCGAUGUGGAAAGUGACAUUAAGAUUUUUUAUGUUUAUACGACUGCAAUUGCGGCUUUAUCACCACGAUUCUCUGAAAUAUAAGAAUCGCAGCGUGUCUGCAAUUUAAAACCUUUCUUUACCUGUAGCCAAAAAUCACAGCUCUAUCCAUGUGUAACUUUUAUAAAUUUAGUCUAGUGAAAAAGUUGUGGAUGCUAUCCGAUUUUGAGGAUCAAUGUUUGUUACCUGAAUCCAGCGCCGACAAAGUUCUUCAGUAGUGUCUGCUGAGAAGCCGCAUAUAUCCGCUCCAACCAUAGGAACUCCAAAGAUUCCAAAGUUUAAUAUUGAUGGGAUUGAGUAUGCUAAAUCAUUCCAUGUAGCAGCAUUAUCUCCUGUCCAAUGAGCUGUAUACUUGCCAGAGCUAACAAAAGUUGAUCUACUCAAAAUGAAUGGUCUUUUACUAGUUAUUUCCACUAAGGCCCUGUUGGUUGUUUUGGAUUCUAAGAGACCAUACAAAUUGUGAGAAUCAUACUCAGUGAUAUUACCAUAAUGUAAAGAAGUUGCUGGCACCGUUUUAUUGUUGAUUGGUCGUUGAACGCCAGUACUGUUAAUUUUGUAAGGAGGGCUGUCAAGAUUAGAAUGAGGAGUGUCAUUCGAAGUUAUGAAAUUUGAUAACUCAUUCAUGUCAAGCCAAAUACCAUCAAAAGGGAGAAGUUCCCUAAAUAAUUUGAUUUCUUCACCCCAAAAUUCUUGGCUAUGAGGGUUAAGAAAAUCAGGAUAGUAAACUGGUCCUGGCCAAACUUCACCUAGAUAAUUGACUCCAUUUCUCUUUAGAUAGACAUCAGCUUGUAAGCCUCUAACAUAGGUUGCAUAUGUGUUAUUUACACUGAUACCUGUGUACAAAAAAGCAAUGACAUGUGCAUAUAUAUAUAUAUUUUUUUGAAUGGCAAAUAUAUAAUAUAGAAAAAGAACACACUGUACAAGAUACACCAACAGGACCAUCAAAAGAUGGUCCAAAGAGACCCCAGAAAACCCCCGACACAAAUGGAGAGCCGGGAAGAGAUCCGAAUGGAAGCACCAAAUAAACACCAAAAGCAAACAAAAAGAAAACUACACCAAAUAAAAGGAAAACAGAACAAAACACCACUGAAACCAACACCAGGCAGGUCAGGAAAGGAGGGCAAAGAAACACUGCGAAAGCUGGCCAGAAGGGGAGGAGGCAGGGAACCCCCACCCAACCCCCCACGCGAGCCAAGGCACACCACUCCCAGAACACCCUACCGAUGCCAGCACAGGAACCAUAAGAGUAAGACAUUGUUGUCGAUAGCGGAUUAUGGAAAAUAGAGGAACACCAAAAUUCCACUAUGUGAAAUAGGGGAUAGUGUUGCUGGAAAAUAGUGAAAGUCGCAUAGGGUUGAAAUAAGUCAAUUUUUUAUGAAAAAGGGCAAGCUGCAUACAGAUAAGAAAAAGAAUGGAGGCAAAGCAUAUCUUCUACACUGGAAG